UUAGAGUGGCAGCGGCCACGCGGUGUGAAGCGUUUGUAUGGCCUGUGCAGAGGGGAGAGAACAGGGAUAGACAGACACAUAGUUGACAGGCUACAGAAGAGGCUACGCUAAUGCAAAGGAGAUUGGACUGACAAGUGGACUACACGUCUCGAAUGUUCAGAAAGUUAAGCUUACGUUGCAAAAAUCUUAUUGACUAAAAUGACUAAAAUGACACAGUACUGCUGGCUGGUGGAGUAGGCUAGCUAGCAGUGGCUGCGUUGUUGACUUUGUUUGAAAGUGUAGCUGGCUAGGUAACCUCGAUAGUUUCAGUACUACACCUUUAUCAUGAUACAAAGGCAACUAUGUAGCUAGCUAACAUAACACUAAUCAAGACAGGUGUAGGGGUACAACUGAAAUGGUAACCUAAUAAAAGCACGAUAGUUUUAUCAUCUCAGAUACUGGAGGAGUAGAACAGCUCUGUUUUAGUGUUAUCAUCUUAGAUAACAGGUUGAGUCUUUCCUCUAGAACAGCUCUGUUAUAGUGUUAUCAUCUGUGAUAACAGGUUGAGUCUCUCCUCUAAUACAGCUCUGUUGUCAUCUUAGAUACUAGAGGAGUAGAACAGCUCUGUUAUAGUUUUAUCAUCUCAGAUACUAGAGGAGUAGAACAGCUCUGUUAUAGUGUUAUCAUCUGAGAUAACAGGUUGAGUCUCUCCUCUAAUACAGCUCUGUUGUUAUAGUGUUAUCAUCUUAGAUAACAGGUUGAGUCUCUCUAAUACAGCUCUGUUAUAGUGUUAUCAUCUUAGAUAACAGGUCGAGUCUCUCCUCUAGUACAGCUCUGUUUUAGUGUUAUCAUCUUAGAUAACAGGUUGAGUCUCUCUAGUACAGCUCUGUUGUUAUAGUGUUAUCAUCUUAGAUA
This 894-nucleotide long non-coding RNA is filed under the name Salmo salar (Atlantic salmon). Its description in RNAcentral is "lncRNA (ENSSSAG00000120451.1)". The record is from RNAcentral. Lineage: Eukaryota; Metazoa; Chordata; Actinopteri; Salmoniformes; Salmonidae.